This 467-nucleotide ribosomal RNA is filed under the name uncultured bacterium. RNAcentral describes it as "partial 16S ribosomal RNA". It matches the Rfam family "Bacterial small subunit ribosomal RNA", at positions 28 to 507 of the family's 1533-position model. The record is from RNAcentral.
GACGAACGCUGGCGGCGUGCUUAACACAUGCAAGUCGAACGAUGACGCCCGAGCUGCCUGGGUCUGCUUAGUGGCGAACGGGUGAGUAACACGUGUGCAACCUGCUCUACUCUCUGGUAUAACCUCGCGAAAUGGGGCCUAAUCCCAUACCUCAUCUCACCUCCCGGGGAGGGCGUGGGAACUUUUUUCGUUGAGGGAUGGAUUGGCGGGCUGUCAGUUUGUUUGUUUGGUAGGUGCUGACCAAGCCAAGGACGGGUAGGCGGCCUGAGAGGGGGACCGGCCACACUGGGACUGAGACACGGCCCAGACUCCUACGGGAGGCAGCAGUGGGGAAUAUUGCACAAUGGGCGCAAGCCUGAUGCAGCGACGCCGCGUGAGGGAUGACGGCCUUCGGGUUGUAAACCUCUGUCAGCAGGGAAGAAGCGAAAGUGACGGUACCUGCAGAAGAAGCGCCGGCUAACUACGUG